This 468-nucleotide ribosomal RNA is filed under the name uncultured bacterium. RNAcentral describes it as "partial 16S ribosomal RNA". It matches the Rfam family "Bacterial small subunit ribosomal RNA", at positions 28 to 507 of the family's 1533-position model. The record is from RNAcentral.
GAUGAACGCUGGCGGCGUGCUUAACACAUGCAAGUCGAACGGUGAAGGCGGAGCUUGCUCUGCUGGAUCAGUGGCGAACGGGUGAGUAACACGUGAGCAAUCUGCCCCUGACUCUGGGAUAAGCGCUGGAAACGGCGUCUAAUACUGGAUACGAGCUGCGCAGGCAUCUUCAGCAGCUGGAAAGAAUUUCGGUCAGGGAUGAGCUCGCGGCCUAUCAGCUUGUUGGUGAGGUAAUGGCUCACCAAGGCGUCGACGGGUAGCCGGCCUGAGAGGGUGACCGGCCACACUGGGACUGAGACACGGCCCAGACUCCUACGGGAGGCAGCAGUGGGGAAUAUUGCACAAUGGGCGAAAGCCUGAUGCAGCAACGCCGCGUGAGGGACGACGGCCUUCGGGUUGUAAACCUCUUUUAGCAGGGAAGAAGCGAAAGUGACGGUACCUGCAGAAAAAGCGCCGGCUAACUACGUG